Molecule: ribosomal RNA, 496 nt
Filed under: uncultured bacterium
Lineage: Bacteria
Description: bacterial SSU rRNA
Rfam family: Bacterial small subunit ribosomal RNA
Source: RNAcentral
ACUCAAAGGAAUUGACGGGGACCCGCACAAGCGGAGGAACAUGUGGUUCAAUUCGAUGAUACGCGAGGAACCUUACCUGGGCUUAAAUGCAGAACGACAGGCUGGGAAACUGGCCCUUCUUCGGACGGUCUGCAAGGUGCUGCAUGGUUGUCGUCAGCUCGUGCCGUGAGGUGUCGGGUUAAGUCCCAUAACGAGCGCAACCCUUAUCGUUAGUUGCCAACGGGUCAUGCCGGGGACUCUAACGAAACUGCCGGCGUAAGCCGUGAGGAAGGUGGGGAUGACGUCAAAUCAGCACGGCCCUUAUGUCCAGGGCUACACACGUGUUACAAUGGCCGGAACAAAGGGCUGCUAUGCCGCGAGGCAAUGCUAAUCUCUAAAACCGGUCUCAGUUCGGAUCGAAGUCUGCAAUUCGACUUCGUGAAGUUGGAUUCGCUAGUAAUCGCGCAUCAGCAAUGGCGCGGUGAAUACGUUCCCGGGUCUUGUACACACCGCCCGU